UAGUCAGAUUAUACAGAUUGGUUGUUGGUGUAUAUAGCCAGCCGCCACAUAAACUUGACCUUAAUCAGUGAAGCAGACGAGAGAAGAGGAUAAGGAGAACAAAAAAAUUGCCGGCUUCAGUUGAAUUCAUCACCAUCAUCGCAUCAUGGCCAAGUUUGUUCUCCAGCCACUGGGGUCGACCACUGACAGCCCCUUGUUUCAAAGGAGGAGAAUACACAAUGAGAAUUUGGCUGCUCAAAAUGUGGACAAUAAGAAAAACGGUGGAGCCAUGUCUAUGUUAGCAAAUGGUGUAUGUGCAAGAUGUGGAGAAGGAUUCCAGUUAAAAGACCAGAUUGUCAACUCAAAUGAUCAAUCUUGGCAUCCAGAAUGCUUUGUGUGUGCCCAGUGUUUCCAGAGCUUUCCAGGAGGGAUUUUUUAUGAGUUUGAAGGCCGGAAAUACUGUGAACAUGAUUUCCAUGUUCUGUUUGCACCAUGUUGUCAAAAAUGUGGUGAAUUCAUUAUCGGCCGCGUGAUAAAGGCUAUGAACAACAGUUGGCACCCUGAAUGUUUCCGUUGUGAACUUUGUACUGGACCUCUUGCUGAUACAGGUUUCAUGAAACUUGCAGGAAGAGCUCUGUGUCGUGAAUGCCAUGCUAGAGAAAAAGCCAAAGGUCUUGGAAAAUACAUCUGCCAUAAAUGCCAUUCUAUUAUUGAAGAAGGCCACAUCAAGUUCAAGGAAGAAGCCUACCAUCCAUACCAUUUCAACUGCAAGAGUUGUGGUGUUGAACUAACUGCUGAUGCACGAGAGAAGAAUGGUGAGCUCUACUGUCUGCGGUGUUAUGACAAGAUGGGAAUACCAAUCUGUGGAGCCUGCAGACGACCAAUAGAAGAGAGAGUUAUAAAUGCUUUAGGUAAAUACUGGCAUGUUGAGCACUUUGUCUGUGCAAAGUGUGAGAAACCAUUUUUGGGCACCAGAUAUUAUGAGAAGAAGAAUAUGGCUUACUGUGAGAUACAUUAUCAUCAGCUAUUUGGAAAUAUUUGCUUUGUUUGUAACAAUAUUGUAGCUGGAGAUGCCUUUACUGCCUUUAACAAAGCCUGGUGCGUUAACCAUUUUGCUUGUUCUGUCUGUGACAGGAAGAUGAGCCAGAAAACCAAAUUCUUUGAAUUUGACAUGAAACCUGUCUGCAAGACAUGUUUUGAGAAAUUUCCUGGUGAAAUGAAACGCCGAUUGAAGAAGGCCUAUGAUGAACACACCAAAAAAUAACCUGGUCACCAUAGGAACUAAUAGUCUUGCUUCAGUGCCUCUUUCUCUCUUUCCAAUCUAUUCUCUAGAACAGUCUGCAAACAAUCUGUAGCCUUAUUCUCCAUUUGUUGUAAGAAUUUCAUUAACUCACCUGUCACCAAGGAGGGAAAAAAAAACAAAAACUGAACAGUGCCCCAAUAUGGUUAUAACCUCUGGUUGAAACUGUUUAUAGAAUGAUAGAAUAUAAAUUAAUGAGCAUAUGUCUAUUGCUCUUUACUAUUGUGACAGUUUAUUUUCUUUGUUGUUUACUGGGUGAAGCAUUUGUGUAUACAGAGAGGUCAGUAUCAUCCAGUGGAUGGUUAAAGAACUGAACUACUCACUGACUUAGAGGUGAUGAGUUCAAACCAUGACUGGGAUAUAUGAGUGUUGUAUUCUGGAGCUCAUAUCUCCCAGUCUCAGAGGCCCUGAUAAAUAAAUGGGUGAUGGAUAUUGCCUUUUUUUCCUCCACUUCACUAAGCCUUAAAAAUAAACCCCUACCUAAAUGCAACAAUGGAGAGUAGAAAAGAAAAACAAAGCACAAAAAAAACAGGUUUUCAGAGACUGUUUCUAGUAAAUAUCUAAGACAGAGAUAAGGGUUUCAAUAUUCAAAUUCUUUUUCCUAUAGACUUUUUAGUUUGACGUUACAAAUUCAUAAAACUGAAAUAUUUUCAUAAAUUAACCCUUUUGAUACCAACCCAUCUGAGACCAUCCUGGGUCCUAUGAUACAAACUUCCUGUUAAUUUAUGUUCCAAGCACCCUUGAUGCUGACAAAAUCAUUUUAUUAAAAUUUUCAUUUUUUUCAAAACUGAAACAAAGGCAGUGCAUUUCAGUUAGUAACAAAAGGGUUAAAAUUACAAUGGAUUAAAUCCUUUUUCUUUUUUCUGAAAUAGAAAUAUACUGGAAAAAGAAACUGCCCCCAAAAAAGAAAACUGGAAUUUUGAAAAUAACAAAAAUUUUCAGUUUGAAUUUCAAUUAAAAAUUGGAACUUUCUUUGGUUUUAAAAAAUGACAUUUCAGUUUUACCAAUUUUGAAUUUCAAAUUGAAAUAUUAUAAGAAAAAAAAUUGAAAUUCUUAUCUCUGAUCUCAACUUAUCCUGCUUCACUUUAUUUAUAAAUGUUUUUGUUUUUUUAAUUAGACAUCUAGAGUUAGUCUAAAUGCCUUAAAUAUAUCUAUUUUCUAUACAAAUCUAUAUUUUAUUCUUGCAAAUGGUUUAUUUUUUAAUAAGUCUUUGUCAUUCAGACCCUUCACUUUCUCUAUAUUUCUCACACAAAAAUAUUGCAUGUUUUUGCUAUUAUCUUCUUUCCAAUAUUAUCUGCCUACACACUUCAGAAUAGAUUUUUAAAGAAAUUACCUUUUUGCUCCAGAUUUUUAUUUUUUAUUUAUAAUUUUUUUUUUAUUAAAUAUAUUUUAACCCUCUUUGAUACCAGAGAGUGCUUCAGAGGAGUGAAGAUGACAUCACUUUCAAUGGCAUUGAGUAAAUUUGAAGGGCACCUCUCCUUUGAAUACAACACUAUCAGAUACAGUGUCAGAAGGCCCGUAUUAAUUGUGGACACACAGUCCUUUUCUUGUGACUAAACAAUACAUUAAAAACAAAAAUGAGAAAUUAUACAGUGAUCCUGCUGCUUACAGUAUACCUCCUCAUGAUACCAAUUUACUGUUAGGUGGACUGAGCUGUUGAGUAGUGAGUGUCUUACUUGCUGAACAAAUGGUGGGACAUGAAUUGGCAAUCUUUUGGUUAGUGGAGGCAGUAUCUCUGCUGAUGUUGCUUCAGAAAUACAAGUCCCCUUAUUUAUAAUGUCCAUAUAAUAGCUUUACAGUUUAGGGCUUUCUCAAGAAGAAAUCCUGUGAUGGUAGCAUGCUUCGACCUGAGAUUGUGUAUUGAAACUGAAACAGUAACAUUGUAGAAGAAUCAUGUUAGCCAUUUAAGAACACACAUGCUUUUUACAUUCACCUUUGAUUUAUCUUAUGUUGCUGGUGCAGUACUUAGGCCUUUGGUAAUAGUUUACUUUAUAAACACUGUCUUCUUGCACAGUUAAAGAAGCUUCACCCAAUCAGUUGAUUAAAUCACAUCAUCAUCAUUUUAACAAUCACUUUUCCAUGCUUGCAUGGGUCAGAUGGAAUUCAGUGAAGGCAGGUUCUCUAUGGCUUGGUGCCCCUCCUGUUACCAUAAAUAUAUUCUGUAUAAAAACAAGGUAUUAAUAUUUAUUACAUAUAGCAUUGGCUAAAAUGUAUAUGUUCUGAAGUACCUAAUUGCGUUGAAGCAAAAUGUUGUAAUUGCACACCAAUAACUUAUUAAUUAAACUAGCUGCCAAAUGCAUAAUAAUAUGCAAAUCAGUGUAUAUGAUUUACUUAAGCAUGUCUUUGAAGAUAAUUAUAGAGGAUAUUCAGUUGCUGAGGAAAUAUCAACACUUGACUGAAACUGGUCUAGUUUAUCUCUUUUUCUUUCUGUUCCUGAAGAUGUAUAAAGAUCAGGUGUUUACAUCUGUCUGUCACAUAUACAAGGUGUCCUAAAAGUCCCUAUAUACUUUCUUUUUUCUAUUUUCUUUCAGAUAUCAUUCAGAGAAACAUGAGGCCGUCAGCAUUUGACACCUUAGACUUUGAAGUUUUUGCAAGUGUAUCAUUCCCUUGCCCAUGGCUCACCAAUUGACGUUAGAGCAGUGCUGCAAAAUUGCUGCCUGGCAAGAGGUUUUUCAGUCCCCUACUGCAAUUCAUCGCAAGUUUGAGAAGGUUUAUGGCCAUCACACUGCUCCAACGCAUAGCACAAUUUAUGCUGUCCAAAGCAAGUUUCUCGAAAGAGGAUUUGUUCUUGACAAACCACACAGCAGAUGGCCUGCUACUACCACCAUUGAUGAAAACACCAAACUCCUAAAGUAGGUGUUUGUGAAAAGCCAGAGGACUGCACUUGAACUUAGCAUCAACAAAAGCUUGAUUCAGCGGAUACUUUGGUGAGUGAUAAAGCUCUACCCGUACUAACGUCAGGUUGUUCAAAGGCUUCAAGUGGAAGAUUAUGAUGCCCAUGUGGAAAUGUGUGAAUCACUCCUCUAGCUUUACCAAAAUGAUUCUUAGUUCUUGGAAAACUUAUGGUUCAACGAUGAGCCUAUCUUUCAUCUCUCUGGUCGGGUAAACUGACACAGUUGUUGAAUUUGAGGAAAAUCAAAACCAGCAGAAAUUCUCGAACAUGAACAAGACUCUCCAAAGCUGGUGGUAUAGUGUGCCAUGGGGCACGGGAAUGAUACACUUACAGAAACUGCAAAGGUGUCAUGCUGAUGGUUUCAUGUUUCUCUGAAGGAUACCUGAAAUGAAAUAGAAAACAGAAAGUGUAUAGUGACUUUUGGGACACCCUGUAGUUUUGAUUAAAAUCUAUACAUAUACUUUGUAGUAAAUAAGUAUUUUGUGAUAAUAUUGUAUAUGAUAAAGUGUAGAAAUAUUGCAUCAUGGAUCUACAAACUAAUCACUGGUACAGCAUCAUUGUAUCUCUGAAAGUAUGUCAGUAGUCAGGCUGUAGAGGAAUGAUGAAAUUUUCUGAUAUUUUACCAUUAUACAAGAUAAAAAAAA
This 4816-nucleotide unclassified non-coding RNA is filed under the name Octopus sinensis (East Asian common octopus). RNAcentral's name for it is "lIM and senescent cell antigen-like-containing domain protein 1, transcript variant X3". Lineage: Eukaryota; Metazoa; Mollusca; Cephalopoda; Octopoda; Octopodidae. The record is from RNAcentral.